Molecule: ribosomal RNA, 484 nt
Filed under: uncultured bacterium
Lineage: Bacteria
Description: partial 16S ribosomal RNA
Rfam family: Bacterial small subunit ribosomal RNA
Source: RNAcentral
AUUGAACGCUGGCGGCAGGCUUAACACAUGCAAGUCGAGCGGCAGCGCGGACUUCGGCCUUGCAUCGAGUGGCGGACGGGUGAGUAAUACAUAGGAACGUGCCCGGUAGUGGGGGAUAGCGCGGCGAAACCGGGACUAAUACCGCAUACGACCUGAGGGUGAAAGCGGGGGAUCUUCGGACCUCGCGCUAUUAGAUCAGCCUAGGUCGGAUUAGCUAGUUGGUGGGGUAAAGGCCUACCAAGGCGACGAUCUGUAGCUGGUCUGAGAGGACGACCAGCCACACUGGGACUGAGACACGGUCCAGACUCCUACGGGAGGCAGCAGUGGGGAAUUUUGGACAAUGGGCGAAAGCCUGAUCCAGCCAUGCCGCGUGUGUGAAGAAGGUCUUCGGAUUGUAAAGCACUUUUGGUGGGAAGGAAGAGCAGUGAGUUAAUACCAUGCUGUGUUGACGUUACCAGCAGAAUAAGCACCGGCUAACUACGUG